AACAAACGCUGGCGGCGUGCCUAACACAUGCAAGUCGUACGAGAAAUCCUGAGCAAUCGGGAGAGUAAAGUGGCGCACGGGUGAGUAACGCGUGGGUAACCUGCCCUUGGAUUGGGGAUAACUCUUCGAAAGGAGAGUUAAUACCGAAUAACAUCCCGGUUUCCUUGGAGAUCGGGGUCAAAGGUGGCCUCUGCAUGCAAGCUACUGUCUAAGGAUGGGCCCGCGUACCAUUAGCUGGUUGGUGAGGUAACGGCCCACCAAGGCUACGAUGGUUAGCUGGUCUGAGAGGAUGGCCAGCCACACUGGAACUGAGACACGGUCCAGACUCCUACGGGUGGCAG
RNAcentral lists this ribosomal RNA (341 nucleotides) under uncultured Pseudomonadota bacterium. Its description in RNAcentral is "bacterial SSU rRNA". It matches the Rfam family "Bacterial small subunit ribosomal RNA", at positions 29 to 351 of the family's 1533-position model. Lineage: Bacteria; Pseudomonadati; Pseudomonadota. The record is from RNAcentral.